AUACUCUGGUUUCCCUUCAAAACGCAUAAAUCUUUCGCCGUUUACUAAAGAUUUCCGUGGAGGGGAACAACUCAUUGUAAAAAUGCCUGCGCUCUGACUGCUUGCUAGAGC
Penaeus indicus is the source of this 111-nucleotide small nuclear RNA. RefSeq annotates it as U5 spliceosomal RNA. The transcript has a single exon. The record is from RefSeq and is a predicted model, not a curated record. NCBI's taxonomy places the organism in Eukaryota, Metazoa, Arthropoda, Malacostraca, Decapoda, Penaeidae.